RNAcentral lists this ribosomal RNA (492 nucleotides) under uncultured bacterium. RNAcentral's name for it is "partial 16S ribosomal RNA". It matches the Rfam family "Bacterial small subunit ribosomal RNA", at positions 29 to 507 of the family's 1533-position model. The record is from RNAcentral.
ACGCACGCUGGCGGCGUGCUUAACCCAUGCAAGUCGAACGGUGAAGGGACCGGUUUUUGCUGGUUCUGGAUGAGUGGCGAACGGGUGAGUAACACGUGAGUAACCUGCCCCCUUCUUCUGGAUAACCGCAUGAAAGUGUGGCUAAUACGGGAUAUUCUGCGCCUGCUGCAUGGUGGGUGUGGGAAAGAUAUUGUUUCGGUGGGGGAUGGGCUCGCGGCCUAUCAGCUUGUUGGUGGGGUGAUGGCCUACCAAGGCGGUGACGGGUAGCCGGCCUGAGAGGGUGGACGGUCACACUGGGACUGAGACACGGCCCAGACUCCUACGGGAGGCAGCAGUGGGGAAUAGUGCACAAUGGGCGCAAGCCUGAUGCAGCGACGCCGCGUGAGGGAUGGAGGCCUUCGGGUUGUAAACCUCUUUCGCCAGUGAAGCAGGCCUGUCCCUUUUGUGGGUGGGUUGACGGUAGCUGGAUAAGAAGCGCCGGCUAACUACGUG